Molecule: ribosomal RNA, 218 nt
Filed under: uncultured bacterium
Lineage: Bacteria
Description: partial 16S ribosomal RNA
Rfam family: Bacterial small subunit ribosomal RNA
Source: RNAcentral
UGGGCAACCUGCCCUGUACUGGGGAAUAAUCAUUGGAAACGAUGACUAAUACCGCAUGUGGUCCUCGGAAGGCAUCCUCUGAGGAAGAAAGGAUUUAUUUGGUACAGGAUGGGCCCGCAUCUGAUUAGCUAGUUGGUGAGAUAACAGCCCACCAAGGCGACGAUCAGUAGCCGACCUGAGAGGGUGAUCGGCCACAUUGGGACUGAGACACGGCCCAA